GACGAACGCUGGCGGCGUGCUUAACACAUGCAAGUCGAACGGAAAGGCCCUGCUUUUGUGGGGUGCUCGAGUGGUGAACGGGUGAGUAACACGUGGGUAACCUGCCCUUGACUUUGGGAUAACUUCAGGAAACUGGGGCUAAUACCGGAUAGGAGCUCCUGCUGCAUGGUGGGGGUUGGAAAGUUUCGGCGGUUGGGGAUGGACUCGCGGCUUAUCAGCUUGUUGGUGGGGUAGUGGCUUACCAAGGCUUUGACGGGUAGCCGGCCUGAGAGGGUGACCGGCCACAUUGGGACUGAGAUACGGCCCAGACUCCUACGGGAGGCAGCAGUGGGGGAUAUUGCACAAUGGGCGGAAGCCUGAUGCAGCAACGCCGCGUGCGGGAUGACGGCCUUCGGGUUGUAAACCGCUUUCGCCUGUGACGAAGCGUGAGUGACGGUAAUGGGUAAAGAAGCACCGGCUAACUACGUG
Molecule: ribosomal RNA, 468 nt
Filed under: uncultured bacterium
Lineage: Bacteria
Description: partial 16S ribosomal RNA
Rfam family: Bacterial small subunit ribosomal RNA
Source: RNAcentral